This is a long non-coding RNA of Ananas comosus (pineapple), 659 nucleotides long. RefSeq lists it as uncharacterized. Lineage: Eukaryota; Viridiplantae; Streptophyta; Magnoliopsida; Poales; Bromeliaceae. The transcript is spliced from 6 exons. The record is from RefSeq and is a predicted model, not a curated record.
UCUCUCUAGGGUUUCUCUCUUUUCGAGUAGAAGUCGCCGAUUCGAGCCGAUUCCGCGUUCCGCUCGAUGUUCGUUGGUUUGGAGACUCAAGGAAAGUCUUUGGCACGUGGGGAGAAGGAUUCUUACUAAAUUUCUGAGGUCCUAUCACCAGGGGAAGCUGAGUUGCAGCUUUUGAUAGCUGAAUUAGAAGGAGUUUCCAGCAGCUAGAGAGGAGUUAGUUAGCUCUGAUUUAUCCACUUUAGACCAAGGAUAAGCUGCUUUGAAGCUUGAUAAAGGUUUCCAAACCACCUUGAGCUAAAUUGGUGACCUUGGGGGACUGGUUUGAAAGGUGUUUCAACCAAGGCAAGGUUGCAAUCGACCGUUGGAUUAUCUUCGACUAACUUGUGAGAGCUUUUGGAGGUUAAACUUGAGGUUUGAGACCUAGCGAGCUGACUUUUGGGAAUCAGUUGGGGCUGGAUCGAGCUUAGUGCUAGAGCCACUUACAUGAGAGGCUAGGGAUCGCGGCAAGGGAGUCGUGUCUAGCUAGAUCUAGCAUUGGAGCUUGACUAGAUGAUCACCUUGCUUUUCGGGCUACGGCCGAGGGUGAUGUCCCCGUGUAUAGAGAGACCACCACUGUACCUAUAUUUUUGUGUACCUUGUGAUGUAUAUGUGGUUGGGAA